Rhinichthys klamathensis goyatoka is the source of this 598-nucleotide long non-coding RNA. RefSeq lists it as uncharacterized. NCBI's taxonomy places the organism in Eukaryota, Metazoa, Chordata, Actinopteri, Cypriniformes, Leuciscidae. The record is from RefSeq and is a predicted model, not a curated record. The transcript is spliced from 3 exons.
CCGGUGUCGUGCCAAGGUACUUACCCCUGAAAGGAAGUGUAUCCCCGGUCGCGGGAGCGCGCUCGCAUUCAGCAGGAGAUGACCUGACUGACAUAUGUCACUUCUGUGGAUCAGAAGGACCCAAGGCAGAUUUCUGUUGGAUUCAGUGUGACAUUUGUUUGCGGUGGUUCCACCAUAUGUGUGUUCAAAGCCCACCAACGGAGGAGGCCUUCCUGUGUACUGCUUGUACUCCUUAAUUUUGUGUACAUUAUUGUUCCGGAGGAAUUUAUUAAUUAAAUCUUGUUGUAUUACAUUACACCUUCCAAGUUUGUGUCUUAUCAUCUUAAAAUUAUUAAAAACCAACAGACUGAUGCGGGACAUUAUCUCAAUAUGCGACGUGCGGUACAGCGCAAAGCGGGACGGGUGCUCACCCUAGUGAAAAUACACUUAACUUUUGGAAAGAAGACACUUCUUGACAGCUUUAUUGUAAUUUCCGCAUAGUAUAGUCCAUAUACACACAAGGGAACGAAACUUCGUUUCACUUGGACCACAGUGCCGCAAAGAAGAAUUAGAAUCAGAAAAAGAUGUGAAGGAAUGAGGAAGGAAAGUACAGACGUAG